ACCAUCCUUUACUUGGGGUUGUGUUAUUAUCCAAUGAGCGCACGGUGACGGUGGAACUGCAAGCGUCUACACAACACGCCUGCAUCAACUACAGCUUUGCUUUAUCUUCGUGCAACUUUUGAAAAA
This is a small nuclear RNA of Cercocebus atys (sooty mangabey), 126 nucleotides long. The record is from Ensembl. Lineage: Eukaryota; Metazoa; Chordata; Mammalia; Primates; Cercopithecidae.